AACUUCUAAAAAAUGUUUUGAAAACAUUACUAUAGAAUAUACUUCUAGGAGUUUU
RNAcentral lists this transfer RNA (55 nucleotides) under Metacrangonyx dhofarensis. RNAcentral's name for it is "tRNA-Ser". Lineage: Eukaryota; Metazoa; Arthropoda; Malacostraca; Amphipoda; Metacrangonyctidae. The record is from RNAcentral.